CCUACGGGUGGCAGCAGUGGGGAAUAUUGCACAAUGGGCGCAAGCCUGAUGCAGCCAUGCCGCGUGUGUGAAGAAGGCCUUCGGGUUGUAAAGCACUUUCAGCGGGGAGGAAGGCGGUGAGGUUAAUAACCUCAUCGAUUGACGUUACCCGCAGAAGAAGCACCGGCUAACUCCGUGCCAGCAGCCGCGGUAAUACGGAGGGUGCAAGCGUUAAUCGGAAUUACUGGGCGUAAAGCGCACGCAGGCGGUCUGUCAAGUCGGAUGUGAAAUCCCCGGGCUCAACCUGGGAACUGCAUUCGAAACUGGCAGGCUAGAGUCUUGGAGAGGGGGGUAGAAUUCCAGGUGUAGCGGUGAAAUGCGUAGAGAUCUGGAGGAAUACCGGUGGCGAAGGCGGCCCCCUGGACAAAGACUGACGCUCAGGUGCGAAAGCGUGGGGAGCAAACAGGAUUAGAUACCCGGGUAGUC
Molecule: ribosomal RNA, 465 nt
Filed under: uncultured Klebsiella sp.
Lineage: Bacteria; Pseudomonadati; Pseudomonadota; Gammaproteobacteria; Enterobacterales; Enterobacteriaceae
Description: bacterial SSU rRNA
Rfam family: Bacterial small subunit ribosomal RNA
Source: RNAcentral